AUCCUUUUGUAGUUCAUACGCGUGAUAACUGGGUUUUCACACACGUAUGAGAUGUGCCUCCCUCAAACCUUGCUACAGCAUUGGUACAUUAUCUGUCCAACA
This 102-nucleotide small nucleolar RNA is filed under the name Nomascus leucogenys (northern white-cheeked gibbon). RNAcentral's name for it is "Small nucleolar RNA U13". It matches the Rfam family "Small nucleolar RNA U13". Lineage: Eukaryota; Metazoa; Chordata; Mammalia; Primates; Hylobatidae. The record is from Rfam by way of RNAcentral.